CACACAAAUGACGCCCCAUAUUCCAGAUCUGAAGCAUUCAACUCACAACUUGACCCUUGCCUCCACGACUUCCGUAACCGAUUCAGUAAUUACCCAUGUAUCAUAAAGUCGAUCAUCUAUAAUAACCUGUUUACUCCAUCAUUUUUCAUCUUCACAUCCUUUCAUCACACUCCACCCUCCCCCUCGUUCUCUCUCCAUUUGCCACCGGAGAGGAACUCGACGCAGCAUCAUUUUGUUCACCAGGCACGUCGUAUUGUUUCGAGAUUCACCGGGUUCUUGAAGUAAACCGACUCGCCGGAGAGCCCAAAGUCGUCGGAACCCAUUGGAACACGUCGAAGCCGCCGGAGAUCGGAGAACAAACCGGAGAAUCCUGUUGCCGCGUUUGGAUAACCAUCACGUUUGUUCUCUCGGAUUUUCCCAAUCUUUACUCGUACGUUCUUACAAGAAAUCGCAACGCAAUCAAUGUUGAUAGCCACGUUGUUGAAGAAACAAGUUUAGGGUGGACUAGAAACUCACCUACAAAAUAAACCAUGUUUGAAUAACUGUUUCUUGUUUGAUUGAUUUGAACGAUGUAUGAAAUUUUAGUAUUUUAUGAAAUUUGAUUUUAAUUA
Long non-coding RNA from Helianthus annuus (common sunflower), 611 nucleotides. RefSeq lists it as uncharacterized. The transcript is spliced from 3 exons. Lineage: Eukaryota; Viridiplantae; Streptophyta; Magnoliopsida; Asterales; Asteraceae. The record is from RefSeq and is a predicted model, not a curated record.